Molecule: transfer RNA, 70 nt
Filed under: Halocynthia hilgendorfi ssp. n. KRK-2020
Lineage: Eukaryota; Metazoa; Chordata; Ascidiacea; Stolidobranchia; Pyuridae
Description: tRNA-Thr
Source: RNAcentral
UGUUCUUUAGUUUAAUUAAAAAUAUUGGUUUUGUAAGUCUAAGAUAAGGGAAGGUUAACUUUAAGGGCAG